RNAcentral lists this ribosomal RNA (329 nucleotides) under uncultured eukaryote. RNAcentral describes it as "partial 18S ribosomal RNA". It matches the Rfam family "Eukaryotic small subunit ribosomal RNA", at positions 1470 to 1796 of the family's 1831-position model. The record is from RNAcentral.
CCCUUAGAUGUUCUGGGCCGCACGCGCGCUACACUGAUGCAUUCAACGAGUCUAAAACCUGCUCUGAUAGGGGUGGGUAAUCUUUUGAAUGUGCAUCGUGACUGGGAUAGAUGAUUGCAAUUUUUCAUCUUCAACGAGGAAUGCCUAGUAAACGCAAGUCAUCAGCUUGCAUUGAUUACGUCCCUGCCCUUUGUACACACCGCCCGUCGCUCCUACCGAUUGAAUGAUCCGAUGAAUAUCAUGGAUUGAGGAUGCAAGUAGGUUAGCCUAUCUUCAUCUUCGAGAAGUGAAGUAAAUCUUAUCAUUUAGAGGAAGGAGAAGUCGUAACA